Chenopodium quinoa (quinoa) is the source of this 1196-nucleotide RNA transcript. RefSeq lists it as uncharacterized. NCBI's taxonomy places the organism in Eukaryota, Viridiplantae, Streptophyta, Magnoliopsida, Caryophyllales, Amaranthaceae. The transcript is spliced from 7 exons. The record is from RefSeq and is a predicted model, not a curated record.
GGGGUUCAAGCUAGUGGGAUUAAAGACUUGAAAUUAUUCCCGACGUUGGAGGAAAAUCUACAGAUUCUGAAGUUUUCUAUGGUCGUAGCAAUGGCAGCACUAAUUUCAUGAUGUGAAGUAAUUUCCUCCUGUUUCUCUGUUUUCUCUCUAAGAUAGGCGGAAGGAGGAAGAUGGAGCAAGGUUUGGUCGAUUCGAGUUUGAGGUGAAUAAACUAAGGGUUUCUCGCGAUGACUGCACAUAGCGGAUGAGUACAGAGGUUGGUGGCCUUACAGCACACGCGUCGGAGGAGAGGAUCGGAAAAGAAUACAGCAGCUUCUGAGGAAACCCAUAUGUUCAAGAUUAUUGGAUUAGAGAAGAUAUUCUUGAUUGAGUUGUCAAUGUAUGUGCCAAGUCCAUCUCGGACAUUACCGUCCAUCGAUCUCGGACAUUACCGUCCAUCUGAUGACUGCCUUGACGCCUUUCUUUCAGUUUUAAAGGAUAAUGGUAUAGACCUCAGUGAAGUUGAGAGAUGGGUUUCACGAAGAAAGAGUAUGAAUUUCUUAUUAUGUGAGCGGAAAUUGAAAAUUCCUAUAAUUAUCUCACACCUUAUCUUUGCUCCGCUUUAAUUUGUUGAAUUUCAAGGCGAAAGAGGGAGAAACCGAGAAGAAUAAAUGGAGGGUUGUGACUUGUGAGCAAGCUCAACUCGGUCAAUUCAAGGAGGAGAUUAAACGUCGUGCUUUGAUUCAUAAGGAUAAAGCUAGCUAUUCACAUCGUUUUAUAAAUAAUUGAAACCCGAUGGGAGAAUUUUAAUCAUUGGUUACUGCAAGAAUGCUGGUAUACAUACACCCAUCACAACAACGCCUGAAUUUGUUGCAUAUAUUAAGCAGACUGGAUGUGAUCUCUAUGAUGUGUAGGCAAGUGUCUAGGUUUUAUUCUCAGUUCCCCAUCUUCGAAAUCAGAAUUUCUUACUAUUAGCAUAUAUACUGAUGAUGUAUUCAUUCGUUCCAAAUACUUAUGAGAUGCAGUCGAGAAAGAAAAAGAAAGAUUUGUUACAAACAUUAGAGUUUGUUCAUUUUGUUGAGAAAUCAUUAAAGAACUAAUCGUUGUCGAUGUCUCUGAUUUGUUUUUACAAGUAUUCUCAGUUAUAACUUAUGAAUCAUGUAUGCAUCAUGUGUAAUUUGACAAUUAUUAAUAAAGGUUGAAACUUGUACACCAAA